GGGUUGUGAGGUUAAGCGACUAAGCGUACACGGUGGAUGCCCUGGCAGUCAGAGGCGAUGAAGGACGUGCUAAUCUGCGAUAAGCGUCGGUAAGGUGAUAUGAACCGUUAUAACCGGCGAUUUCCGAAUGGGGAAACCCAGUGUGUUUCGACACACUAUCAUUAACUGAAUCCAUAGGUUAAUGAGGCGAACCGGGGGAACUGAAACAUCUAAGUACCCCGAGGAAAAGAAAUCAACCGAGAUUCCCCCAGUAGCGGCGAGCGAACGGGGAGCAGCCCAGAGCCUGAAUCAGUGUGUGUGUUAGUGGAAGCGUCUGGAAAGGCGCGCGAUACAGGGUGACAGCCCCGUACACAAAAAUGCACAUGCUGUGAGCUCGAUGAGUAGGGCGGGACACGUGGUAUCCUGUCUGAAUAUGGGGGGACCAUCCUCCAAGGCUAAAUACUCCUGACUGACCGAUAGUGAACCAGUACCGUGAGGGAAAGGCGAAAAGAACCCCGGCGAGGGGAGUGAAAAAGAACCUGAAACCGUGUACGUACAAGCAGUGGGAGCACGCUUAGGCGUGUGACUGCGUACCUUUUGUAUAAUGGGUCAGCGACUUAUAUUCUGUAGCAAGGUUAACCGAAUAGGGGAGCCGAAGGGAAACCGAGUCUUAACUGGGCGUUAAGUUGCAGGGUAUAGACCCGAAACCCGGUGAUCUAGCCAUGGGCAGGUUGAAGGUUGGGUAACACUAACUGGAGGACCGAACCGACUAAUGUUGAAAAAUUAGCGGAUGACUUGUGGCUGGGGGUGAAAGGCCAAUCAAACCGGGAGAUAGCUGGUUCUCCCCGAAAGCUAUUUAGGUAGCGCCUCGUGAAUUCAUCUCCGGGGGUAGAGCACUGUUUCGGCAAGGGGGUCAUCCCGACUUACCAACCCGAUGCAAACUGCGAAUACCGGAGAAUGUUAUCACGGGAGACACACGGCGGGUGCUAACGUCCGUCGUGAAGAGGGAAACAACCCAGACCGCCAGCUAAGGUCCCAAAGUCAUGGUUAAGUGGGAAACGAUGUGGGAAGGCCCAGACAGCCAGGAUGUUGGCUUAGAAGCAGCCAUCAUUUAAAGAAAGCGUAAUAGCUCACUGGUCGAGUCGGCCUGCGCGGAAGAUGUAACGGGGCUAAACCAUGCACCGAAGCUGCGGCAGCGACGCUUAUGCGUUGUUGGGUAGGGGAGCGUUCUGUAAGCCUGUGAAGGUGUGCUGUGAGGCAUGCUGGAGGUAUCAGAAGUGCGAAUGCUGACAUAAGUAACGAUAAAGCGGGUGAAAAGCCCGCUCGCCGGAAGACCAAGGGUUCCUGUCCAACGUUAAUCGGGGCAGGGUGAGUCGACCCCUAAGGCGAGGCCGAAAGGCGUAGUCGAUGGGAAACAGGUUAAUAUUCCUGUACUUGGUGUUACUGCGAAGGGGGGACGGAGAAGGCUAUGUUGGCCGGGCGACGGUUGUCCCGGUUUAAGCGUGUAGGCUGGUUUUCCAGGCAAAUCCGGAAAAUCAAGGCUGAGGCGUGAUGACGAGGCACUACGGUGCUGAAGCAACAAAUGCCCUGCUUCCAGGAAAAGCCUCUAAGCAUCAGGUAACAUCAAAUCGUACCCCAAACCGACACAGGUGGUCAGGUAGAGAAUACCAAGGCGCUUGAGAGAACUCGGGUGAAGGAACUAGGCAAAAUGGUGCCGUAACUUCGGGAGAAGGCACGCUGAUAUGUAGGUGAAGUCCCUCGCGGAUGGAGCUGAAAUCAGUCGAAGAUACCAGCUGGCUGCAACUGUUUAUUAAAAACACAGCACUGUGCAAACACGAAAGUGGACGUAUACGGUGUGACGCCUGCCCGGUGCCGGAAGGUUAAUUGAUGGGGUUAGCGGUAACGCGAAGCUCUUGAUCGAAGCCCCGGUAAACGGCGGCCGUAACUAUAACGGUCCUAAGGUAGCGAAAUUCCUUGUCGGGUAAGUUCCGACCUGCACGAAUGGCGUAAUGAUGGCGGGCUGUCUCCACCCGAGACUCAGUGAAAUUGAACUCGCUGUGAAGAUGCAGUGUACCCGCGGCAAGACGGAAAGACCCCGUGAACCUUUACUAUAGCUUGACACUGAACAUUGAGCCUUGAUGUGUAGGAUAGGUGGGAGGCUUAGAAGUGUGGACGCCAGUCUGCAUGGAGCCGACCUUGAAAUACCACCCUUUAAUGUUUGAUGUUCUAACGUUGACCCGUAAUCCGGGUUGCGGACAGUGUCUGGUGGGUAGUUUGACUGGGGCGGUCUCCUCCUAAAGAGUAACGGAGGAGCACGAAGGUUGGCUAAUCCUGGUCGGACAUCAGGAGGUUAGUGCAAUGGCAUAAGCCAGCUUGACUGCGAGCGUGACGGCGCGAGCAGGUGCGAAAGCAGGUCAUAGUGAUCCGGUGGUUCUGAAUGGAAGGGCCAUCGCUCAACGGAUAAAAGGUACUCCGGGGAUAACAGGCUGAUACCGCCCAAGAGUUCAUAUCGACGGCGGUGUUUGGCACCUCGAUGUCGGCUCAUCACAUCCGGGGCUGAAGUAGGUCCCAAGGGUAUGGCUGUUCGCCAUUUAAAGUGGUACGCGAGCUGGGUUUAGAACGUCGUGAGACAGUUCGGUCCCUAUCUGCCGUGGGCGCUGGAGAACUGAGGGGGGCUGCUCCUAGUACGAGAGGACCGGAGUGGACGCAUCACUGGUGUUCGGGUUGUCAUGCCAAUGGCACUGCCCGGUAGCUAAAUGCGGAAGAGAUAAGUGCUGAAAGCAUCUAAGCACGAAACUUGCCCCGAGAUGAGUUCUCCCUGACUCCUUGAGAGUCCUGAAGGAACGUUGAAGACGACGACGUUGAUAGGCCGGGUGUGUAAGCGCAGCGAUGCGUUGAGCUAACCGGUACUAAUGAACCGUGAGGCUUAACCUUACAACGCCGAAG
RNAcentral lists this ribosomal RNA (2925 nucleotides) under Escherichia coli. RNAcentral's name for it is "23S ribosomal RNA". It matches the Rfam family "Bacterial large subunit ribosomal RNA". Lineage: Bacteria; Pseudomonadati; Pseudomonadota; Gammaproteobacteria; Enterobacterales; Enterobacteriaceae. The record is from RNAcentral.